RNAcentral lists this unclassified non-coding RNA (276 nucleotides) under Hevea brasiliensis (rubber tree). Lineage: Eukaryota; Viridiplantae; Streptophyta; Magnoliopsida; Malpighiales; Euphorbiaceae. The record is from RNAcentral.
UUUGGUCCUCGUCAUUGUGUUUGAAAAAUAAAGCUUAUAAUUUGCAAGUUUUAAUAUCUAGCAUAAUAUUAAUUUUGCCAUCUAUCAAGCUGCUCAUGAAUUUGGUAUUUUUACAAUGUAAUUACAGUUUGAUGUGUGUAUAAAGGUCAACAUGUGAAAUUUCCUCUAUCCAAAGAAUAAACUUGUGCUACCAUGUAUGUACGCGUCUUUCUCCAUUACCGACUCUCUCUUUGCCUCCUCCCCCCAACAUUCUUCCAUCCUCAAAUUCUUCCCCUA